Molecule: long non-coding RNA, 796 nt
Organism: Oncorhynchus keta (chum salmon)
Lineage: Eukaryota; Metazoa; Chordata; Actinopteri; Salmoniformes; Salmonidae
Exons: 4
Source: RefSeq, a predicted model, not a curated record
AUAAUUUCACUGUAAGGUCUACUACACCUGUUGUAUUCAUCAUUUCACUGUAAGGUCUACUACACCUGUUGUAUUCAUCAUUUCACUGUAAGGUCUACUACACCUGUUGUAUUCAUAAUUUCACUGUAAGGUCUACUACACCUGUUGUAUUCAGCAUUUCACUGUAAGGUCUACUACACCUGUUGUAUUCAGCAUUUCACUGUAAGGUCUACUACACCUGUUGUAUUCAGCAUUUCACUGUAAGGUCUACUACACCUGUUGUAUUCAUCAUUUCACUGUAAGGUCUACUACACCUGUUGUAUUCAUCAUUUCACUGUAAGGUCUACUACACCUGUUGUAUUCAGCAUUUCACUGUAAGGUCUACUACACCUGUUGUAUUCAGCAUUUCACUGUAAGGUCUACUACACCUGUUGUAUUCAUCAUUUCACUGUAAGGUCUACUACACCUGUUGUAUUCAGCAUUUCACUGUAAGGUCUACUACACCUGUUGUAUUCAUCAUUUCACUGUAAGGUCUACUACACCUGUUGUAUUCAGCAUUUCACUGUAAGGUCUACUACACCUGUUGUAUUCAUCAUUUCACUGUAAGGUCUACUACACCUGUUGUAUUCAGCAUUUCACUGUAAGGUCUACUACACCUGUUGUAUUCAUCAUUUCACUGUAAGGUCUACUACACCUGUUGUAUUCAUCAUUUCACUGUAAGGUCUACUACACCUGUUGUAUUCAGCAUGUCACUGUAAGGUCUACUACACCUGUUGUAUUCAGCAUGUCACUGUAAGGUCUACUACACCUGUUGUAU